RNAcentral lists this ribosomal RNA (262 nucleotides) under uncultured Sphingobacteriales bacterium. RNAcentral's name for it is "partial 16S ribosomal RNA". It matches the Rfam family "Bacterial small subunit ribosomal RNA", at positions 1121 to 1382 of the family's 1533-position model. Lineage: Bacteria; Pseudomonadati; Bacteroidota; Sphingobacteriia; Sphingobacteriales. The record is from RNAcentral.
UCAGGUUAAGCUGGGGACGUCUAAAGGAACUGCCUACGCAAGUAGUGAGGAAGCGGGGAUGACGUCAAAUCAGCACGGCCCUUACGUCCAGGGCUACACACGUGCUACAAUGGCCGAUACAGAGGGCAGCUACCUGGUGACAGGAUGCAAAUCUCCAAAGUCGGUCUCAGUUCGGAUCGGAGUCUGCAACCCGACUCCGUGAAGUUGGAUUCGCUAGUAAUCGCGCAUCAGCCAUGGCGCAGUGAAUACGUUCCCGGGCCUU